Molecule: transfer RNA, 71 nt
Filed under: Loxodonta africana (African savanna elephant)
Lineage: Eukaryota; Metazoa; Chordata; Mammalia; Proboscidea; Elephantidae
Rfam family: tRNA
About the family: Transfer RNA (tRNA) molecules are approximately 80 nucleotides in length. Their secondary structure includes four short double-helical elements and three loops (D, anti-codon, and T loops). Further hydrogen bonds mediate the characteristic L-shaped molecular structure. tRNAs have two regions of fundamental functional importance: the anti-codon, which is responsible for specific mRNA codon recognition, and the 3' end, to which the tRNAs corresponding amino acid is attached (by aminoacyl-tRNA synthetases). tRNAs cope with the degeneracy of the genetic code in two manners: having more than one tRNA (with a specific anti-codon) for a particular amino acid; and 'wobble' base-pairing, i.e. permitting non-standard base-pairing at the 3rd anti-codon position.
Source: Rfam by way of RNAcentral
CCAUUGGUAGUUGAGAGGCAGAAUUCUCACCUUCUGUGCAAGAGGCCCAGGUUUGAUUCCUUGCCAAUGAA